Molecule: ribosomal RNA, 404 nt
Filed under: Verrucomicrobiota bacterium
Lineage: Bacteria; Pseudomonadati; Verrucomicrobiota
Description: Verrucomicrobia bacterium partial 16S ribosomal RNA
Rfam family: Bacterial small subunit ribosomal RNA
Source: RNAcentral
UGGGGAAUAUUGCACAAUGGGGGAAACCCUGAUGCAGCGACGCCGCGUGAGCGAUGAAGGCUUUCGAGUCGUAAAGCUCUGUCCUAUGGGAAGAUAAUGACGGUACCAUAGAAGAAAGCCUCGGCUAAUUACGUGCCAGCAGCCGCGGUAAUACGUAAGGGGCGAGCGUUGUCCGGAAUUAUUGGGCGUAAAGAGUGCGUAGGCGGCAAAUUAAGUCAGAUGUGAAAACUAAGGGCUCCACCCAUAGAUUGCAUCUGAAACUGAUAUGCUUGAAUCAAGGAGAGGAAAGAGGAAUUCCUAGUGUAGCGGUGGAAUGCGUAGAUAUUAGGAGGAAUACCGGUGGCGAAGGAGACUUUCUGGACUUGAACUGACGCUGAGGCACGAAAGCGUGGGGAGCAAACAGG